Molecule: ribosomal RNA, 90 nt
Filed under: Diaporthe ampelina
Lineage: Eukaryota; Fungi; Ascomycota; Sordariomycetes; Diaporthales; Diaporthaceae
Source: RNAcentral
ACGUACGACCAUACCCAGCGGAAAAUACGGGAUCCCGUCCGCUCUCCCAUAGUCAAGCCGCUGAGGGAUAGACUACCUAUCGUCGCCGUU